RNAcentral lists this transfer RNA (80 nucleotides) under Actinocatenispora comari. RNAcentral describes it as "tRNA-Gly". The record is from RNAcentral. Lineage: Bacteria; Bacillati; Actinomycetota; Actinomycetes; Micromonosporales; Micromonosporaceae.
GCGCGCCCGGCAGGCCCAGGUCGUCGCCGGGCUGCUGCCGCUGGCCCGCGACAUCCGCCGGUUCGGUGCCGCGGCGCUCG